RNAcentral lists this ribosomal RNA (449 nucleotides) under uncultured bacterium. RNAcentral's name for it is "partial 16S ribosomal RNA". It matches the Rfam family "Bacterial small subunit ribosomal RNA", at positions 354 to 796 of the family's 1533-position model. The record is from RNAcentral.
GUGGGGAAUAUUGGACAAUGGGCGAAAGCCUGAUCCAGCCAUGCCGCGUGUGUGAAGAAGGUCUUCGGAUUGUAAAGCACUUUAAGUUGGGAGGAAGGGCAGUAAGUUAAUACCUUGCUGUUUUGACGUUACCGACAGAAUAAGCACCGGCUAACUUCGUGCCAGCAGCCGCGGUAAUACGAAGGGUGAAGCGUUAAUCGGAAUUACUGGGCGUAAAGCGCGCGUAGGUGGUUUUGUAAGUUGGAGGUGAAAUCCCCGGGCUCAACCUGGGAACUGCCUCCAAAACUGCAUGACUAGAGUACGGUAGAGGGUAGUGGAAUUUCCUGUGUAGCGGUGAAAUGCGUAGAUAUAGGAAGGAACACCAGUGGCGAAGGCGACUACCUGGACUGAUACUGACACUGAGGUGCGAAAGCGUGGGGAGCAAACAGGAUUAGAAACCCUGGUAGUCC